Molecule: ribosomal RNA, 228 nt
Filed under: uncultured bacterium
Lineage: Bacteria
Description: partial 16S ribosomal RNA
Rfam family: Bacterial small subunit ribosomal RNA
Source: RNAcentral
UGAGCAAUCUGCCCUUCUCUUCGGAAUAAGCGUGGGAAACCGCGUCUAAUGCCGAAUACGACCUCCUUUCGCAUGAUCGGAGGUGGAAAGUUCCGGCGGAGAAGGAUGAGCUCGCGGCCUAUCAGCUAGUUGGUGUGGGUAAUGGCCCACCAAGGCGACGACGGGUAGCUGGUCUGAGAGGAUGGCCAGCCACAUUGGGACUGAGAUACGGCCCAGACUCCUAGAGGA